This 505-nucleotide ribosomal RNA is filed under the name Variovorax sp. D219b. Its description in RNAcentral is "bacterial SSU rRNA". It matches the Rfam family "Bacterial small subunit ribosomal RNA", at positions 32 to 532 of the family's 1533-position model. Lineage: Bacteria; Pseudomonadati; Pseudomonadota; Betaproteobacteria; Burkholderiales; Comamonadaceae. The record is from RNAcentral.
AACGCUGGCGGCAUGCCUUACACAUGCAAGUCGAACGGCAGCGCGGGAGCAAUCCUGGCGGCGAGUGGCGAACGGGUGAGUAAUACAUCGGAACGUGCCCAAUCGUGGGGGAUAACGCAGCGAAAGCUGUGCUAAUACCGCAUACGAUCUACGGAUGAAAGCAGGGGAUCGCAAGACCUUGCGCGAAUGGAGCGGCCGAUGGCAGAUUAGGUAGUUGGUGAGGUAAAGGCUCACCAAGCCUUCGAUCUGUAGCUGGUCUGAGAGGACGACCAGCCACACUGGGACUGAGACACGGCCCAGACUCCUACGGGAGGCAGCAGUGGGGAAUUUUGGACAAUGGGCGAAAGCCUGAUCCAGCCAUGCCGCGUGCAGGAUGAAGGCCUUCGGGUUGUAAACUGCUUUUGUACGGAACGAAACGGCCUUUUCUAAUAAAGAGGGCUAAUGACGGUACCGUAAGAAUAAGCACCGGCUAACUACGUGCCAGCAGCCGCGGUAAUACGUAGGG